GACGAACGCUGGCGGCGUGCUUAACACAUGCAAGUCGAGCGGGGCGGCGAACGGGUGAGUAAAGCGUGAGUAACUGCCCCCCUCUCUGGGAAAACAGUUGGAAACGGCUGCUAAUACCGGACAGUGGGGGAUGACUCUCGUCCUAUCAGCUUGUUGGUGGGGUAGGGGACUACCAAGGCGACGACGGGUAGCCGGCCUGAGAGGGAGACCGGCCACAUUGGUCUAAGAGACGGCCCAAACUCCUACGGGAGUCAGCAGGGGGGAAUAUUGCGCAAUGGGGGAAACCCUGAUGCAGCAACGCGCGUGCGGGAUGACGGCCUUCGGGUUGUAAACCGCUUUCAGCCAUGACGCGGUAGUGGCAGAAGAAGCACCGGCUAACUACGUGCCAGCAGCCGCGGUAAUUC
Molecule: ribosomal RNA, 404 nt
Filed under: uncultured bacterium
Lineage: Bacteria
Description: partial 16S ribosomal RNA
Rfam family: Bacterial small subunit ribosomal RNA
Source: RNAcentral